GAGGGUAUAGCUCAGUGGUAGAGUGCAUGCUUAGCAUGUGUGAGGUCCUGGGUUCAAUCCCCAGUACCUCCA
RNAcentral lists this transfer RNA (72 nucleotides) under Camelus bactrianus (Bactrian camel). It matches the Rfam family "tRNA". Rfam says of the family: Transfer RNA (tRNA) molecules are approximately 80 nucleotides in length. Their secondary structure includes four short double-helical elements and three loops (D, anti-codon, and T loops). RNAcentral also lists the same sequence under 2 other names. The record is from Rfam by way of RNAcentral. Lineage: Eukaryota; Metazoa; Chordata; Mammalia; Artiodactyla; Camelidae.